This 513-nucleotide ribosomal RNA is filed under the name Cotinis mutabilis. RNAcentral describes it as "partial 16S ribosomal RNA". It matches the Rfam family "Bacterial large subunit ribosomal RNA", at positions 1817 to 2600 of the family's 2925-position model. Lineage: Eukaryota; Metazoa; Arthropoda; Insecta; Coleoptera; Scarabaeidae. The record is from RNAcentral.
AUGUCUUUGAUUAUAAUUUAAAGUCUGGCCUGCCCAAUGAGGAAUUGAAUGGCCGCGGUAUUUUGACCGUGCAAAGGUAGCAUAAUCAUUAGUUUUUUAAUUGAAAGCUGGUAUGAAUGGUUGGACGAGAAAAUAACUGUCUCAAUCUAAUUUUAAUUAGAAUUUUAUUUUUAAGUUAAAAAGCUUAAAUGAAUUUAAAAGACGAGAAGACCCUAUAGAGUUUUAUAUUUAUUAGUAUAUUAAUAAUUUGGUAUAUCUUUAAUUUUUAUACUAAUAAUUAUUUUGUUGGGGUGACAGGAAAAUUUAGUUAACUUUUUUUUAUUGUUAACAUUGAUUUAUGAUCAAAUGAUCCGUUUUUUACGAUUAAAAGAUUAAAUUACCUUAGGGAUAACAGCGUAAUUUUUUUUGAGAGUUCUUAUCGAAAAAAGAGUUUGCGACCUCGAUGUUGGAUUAAAAUUAACUUUUGGUGCAGAAGCUAGAAGGUUGGGUCUGUUCGACCUUUAAAAUUUUACA